This 61-nucleotide small nuclear RNA is filed under the name Amphiprion percula (orange clownfish). Lineage: Eukaryota; Metazoa; Chordata; Actinopteri; Pomacentridae. The record is from RNAcentral.
CAGAUUAGCAUGGCCUCUGCAAAAGGACGACACACAAAAUUAUGAAGUGGAUCUGCAUUUU